This is an RNA transcript of Trachemys scripta elegans, 3757 nucleotides long. It is a transcript of the gene named serine/threonine kinase 32A, with no coding region annotated. NCBI's taxonomy places the organism in Eukaryota, Metazoa, Chordata, Testudines, Emydidae. The record is from RefSeq and is a predicted model, not a curated record. The transcript has 23 exons.
GGUGCAUAAAGUAAUGCUGGCCCAGAAUUCCCCAACCCACUGCUGUCAGAGCAGCCCUCCAUCCUUGUUGUGCUGCUGCAGUGAUAAUAAGCGAUAGAUCAACAGUUGAGAAUCUGACCUCAGAACUAAGAAGGAAGCGUGCUCUUAGAAACACAGGAAAUGGAGAAAGAAGGAUCCGUUUUUCUCUGAUACCCUGGUGUAAAUAUGGAGUAAUUCCAUGACUUUGGAGUUACUCCUGGCUUCCACCUGUGUAAAUGGGAACCAGGCCCUUUACGUCUAUAGAAACAUAGACUGAACGGUAAAAAUAAAUAUGACCCAAUGACUAGAGAGACACUGAUGUGGUGUAAAUAGUGCCACCUUUCACACAAAAGCUAAAAUUACUCGUUGCAAAGCUUAUCUUUUCCCUUUGUUAAGGCUGUUGUGGGGAUGGGCUGAGGUGGGUGUAUUUUGGGGCAGUCCUUUAUUGAUGUCUGUGUGACUUUAGUUUAUGGCGUAGGUGCCCAGAUCACUGGAUAUGAGCCUGUAUAGUAUUUUUAAAAUGGAAUCAAUUCUCUGCACUCGGUCAUUUAACUCUGAAACUUCCUUUGAGGCUGCCAGCCAGGCUACUAUGGCUCAGAUUGUCAAGCCACUUGCCAUCCAUGCACCAGUGGUUUUCCUUGCAGUGGUGUUACUGGACAUUGCGUAGGCACUGCCAGAGUCCCUUGCAGCUUACAGUCUCAGGAUCCACGGUGCUCUCCUAGCGAAGUUUCCAGGCAGUUGUGCCCCCAGAGGCCUCGAUGGCAUUAUUUUCUAAAGGCGUGUUACUAUGUGGAAGAUACUCAAACUAAAACGUGGAGUGAGGCCAGGCGGGCGUGUCAGGGCUUUAAGGAGACAGACCUCGCUAAAAUUACAAACAGUGCAGAAAAGGCUUGGAUACAGUUUAAAGGGGAGAACAGCUGGAUAGGUUUGACCUAUAAGAAAGAAGACUUCAGAUAUGUGUGGGUCGAUGGCACAUCUGCUCGGGCUGAAAGUGCAUGGGUCAUGAAACGUAACAGGAGGCAUACACUCACUAAAGAAGAUUGUGUGGUUGCCUUCAAGCAAUACCUUUCCCCAGCAGAUUGUUCUUCUCUGAGAAAGUGGAUAUGCAAAAGAGAAGGAGAUGUCAACCUCUUUACAACGCACCAGGGGAGAGCUUUGUACUCCCCUUACGUACCAACAUCAAAUAUAUAUAACACCUUAAAGAAAGCUACAGAUACCUGCUCAGUGCUCCAGACAUGCACUGGGAUAGUGGCAAUGGGGGAGCACUACAUUCUACAAAGUGGGAUGGAACUGUAUAACAGCAGGAAUAGUAGUGUGCAAUCCUUUAUCAAGUCAGAUUGCAUCUCUGGAAGAUUUGGGCUUCUGUGCGAAUUUAAGUGUCCACCAUGCCAGCAGGGUCUGGCCUGCAAUCCAUACACAGGGCUGUGUGGUGACAGUGUGUUUUGCAGUAAGGAGAACAGUCCUAUCCCCUGUGGAAAAGGGUCCAUAUUUGGUGGCACGUGCCCAGUUGAAGAUGGGUGGCAGUACUGGCAAGGCAGCUGUUACUAUAUUCACACAGCAAAGAGACAAACCUGGCUACGUGCAAGAGACCUAUGCAGGCGUUACAGGGACACAGAUCUUCUGUGGCUGACAAGUCCUGGGGAAAAGGAAUGGCUGGUAUCUAAACUUCCCAAAGCAUCAUUCUGGACUGGCCUUUAUGGGUUUAGAUUCUGUACAGUUUUGCAGUGGUCGAACAGUCAAUUCCCGUUUGCAGCCUCAAGAUGGUUGUCUGUAAGCAAGUGGGCCGUAGGUGUUAAGUGCUGUGUGCAGCUUAAUGCUCCCAAAGGCUCUUUGACAGCUGUCAGCUGCUUUCGGAAAGCCCUGUGGAUUUGCAAGAGAAAAGAAGAAGGAAUUGUGGAUUUCCGGGAGUUCCGAGGCUAUUACCUGGCUGGCACUUACACAUCAAAUUCCACACAGCAGUCGUUAUGGGAAGGCCUACAGCUCUGUAGAUUUCAACGAAGCAUUUGCAAUGGAGUUGAGAUGAUCAAAGGAGAGUACAGAACUAUAUUUGCAACCCGAAUUCUACUCAUCAUUGGAGCCCUUGGAGAUAAAAGCACCGCAUAUUUGAAAUCACCUUGUCCCCCAGAGCACUAUGGUCCUGAAUGCCAGGGCAGUUGCACCUGCAAUAGAAUUGAAAACUGCAGCCCCUUCACUGGAGAAUGUGCAGAGAAUUUACAGUGUUCUCAGGAAAAUGUGGCACAGCAAUGCCAAAAAGGAGUGAUCAAUAUGAAAUGCCCAGAGGACCCUGGGUGGUGGUACUGGAAUGGCAGCUGUUAUUAUAUGGAAGAAACUAAUAGUUUGACCUGGCUGGAAGCUAAGAAUUACUGCACUGCCUAUAAUGGCACUGACCUACUAUUGCUGGAUAGUGCAGAAGAAAAGGCCUGGGUAACCUCUGCGUUACAGAAACCUGUUUGGAUUUUCUCGUUGGGUGCCUUGCAAAGUGAUGUGGAGAAAUCAAGCAGGAAGAAUCAACGUGUCAUGGUAAGCCCCACCAAGAGUACUGCUCCAGACAGUUGUGAUCAGCUGAAUGUAAAUGGGAGCUUGAACCAAGUUAACUGUUCUUCUCUGGCUUUCUGGGUUUGUGAAAGAAGGGAAGGUGACAGCAUGUUUUGGAAAUAUUCCCGAAGGCUGCUCACUAAGCCUUUAGGGGGAGAUACAUAUUCAUCCUUGGAGUUUGCUCUGUCAGCCUGUAUUUUAAAAGCAGAUUGCUCUGGAGUCACCUACUGGGGAAAGCGUUACAUACCAGUCACUGGUAAAGAACUGAUCUUCAGCAAAAACAGACAGGAUGCUGUGUACCUGAGGAGUGCUUGCAGCAAAGGACAUUAUGGUGCCUAUUGUCAAAAGAAAUGCCCCACCUGUCUCAAUCAUACCGUAUGCAAUAGACUCACAGGGCUGUGUGAUGGUACAGUGACAUGUCAAGAAAGGAAGAAAUUAGAACUCUGUGAAUACCGCCUUACAAGCAAGUUCUGUUUUGCCUCUUGGAAGUACUGGAAUGGAAAUUGUUACUAUGUUCCUCCAUAUGGGGUGCUGAAUAAGAGCGAAGCAGAGUUCAUGUGCAGUCGGUUCCAAGGGGCACAACUGAUAAAAUUAAACAACACAGAAGAACAGAGAUGGAUAGCUAAAGUCAUCACUAGAAAAAGCUGGCUUGGCAGCCUGAGCUAUAAACUCCAGUCAAACUCCUGGAUCAUGCCUGAUGGAGAUAGAGCAGCGCCUCGUUGGGGUUUCAAAGCAGUUCAAGAUUUGUGUGUGCAGAUUGAACCCGUAUCUGGAACCUUCAUUUCCUUUGCCUGCUCUGAACGGGCUUCGUGGAUCUGCAAGGGAGCCCCAGGGGGCACCAGAGAUCUCCAGAAAGGCUUCAACAUUGCUCCUUCUGCCUUUGAAUUUUUUGAAAUAAGGGCAGAUGUCUCAAAGUGUGGAAGCUGCAAAGGAAGAAUGCUAAAGGAACAACGGCUCAGGAUCAGACGCAAAGGUUCUACACAUAGCAAGUUCUACAGAUCUUCUGAGAGAGCACGAGAUGGUAAUGCUAACUUCAGCGCUAUGCAUCCCAGGCUGGUGAUGUAACCGCACGAGAGACCUUUGGGCAAACUUCACCAUGGGCGCAAACACCUCCAGCAAGCCACCGGUCUUCGAUGAAAAUGAAGAGGUGACCUUUGACCACUUUGAAAUUUUGCGAGCCAUUGGGAAAGGCAGCUUUGGAAAG